UUCACUUUGUUGAAUCAAAGACCGUUGUCCCUUCCAAGAGUCUCUGUGAGGAUACACGGCCAGCCUGUACAGCCUACAAAAAGGUAGAAAGUGUGUGUGAGCUGAUGUGGAUGUGAAUUCAGCAGCAUGAAUCUCUGUGAGGACAGAGAGGAGGGAACCCUUCACUCUAAAACCAAUCUCUGUGGGGACCAUGAGACCCAGAACAAAACCCAGAGCCCAGAGCAACAGCAGCAGAGACCAGACUGUGCUGGACCUGAACCAGAACCCAGCUGUGUGUCUUUAAAAAGUGACAUGUCAAAUCAUCAUUUCAUUGACUUUAAAGACCAUCAACCAUCUGAUGUAGUAAGGUAAAUUGUAAAAAAAUAUUAGUGACAGAAAAAGUCAGAGUUGUAAAAAAAUGUAUUAUUGUAAUUAUUUGAAGGUGGACUGUUACAAAAACAGGUAGGUAAAGUGUAGUUUCUUCUCAGUCUAACAUUCACUGAUUUUGUGUUAAUGUAACAAACUGUAACGAUGAGAACAACUUAUCUUCGAUGAACGAUGGAUUAUUUCUCCACUCAGUGACAUUGUUUACAUACAUGAGGAAUGAUGGGAAUUAGUGUAGCAUUAUUGUUGAUAGAGACCAAAUUUAUUGUCCUGUUUUCAGAAUCAGAAUCAGAUAGGCUUUAUUGCCAUGUCCUGUAGAGUGCACUUUACAGAACUAGGAACUUGUCUUGGUGUUGGCACACCCAGGCAGCCGUCUAUGGCACCAAUCCCAUCUGACAGUGGAAGCAAGAUGCAGUAGUGGGGUGUAUCUGCAUCAGUAUAGUAAAGUGUUGUUUAUAGAAAUAUGACAGAGGCCGACCAAGAUGCUUACAUGCCAGUCCAACGGUUGUCCUUGGGUGUGGUGGAAAU
Long non-coding RNA from Betta splendens (Siamese fighting fish), 891 nucleotides. RefSeq lists it as uncharacterized. The transcript has 4 exons. NCBI's taxonomy places the organism in Eukaryota, Metazoa, Chordata, Actinopteri, Anabantiformes, Osphronemidae. The record is from RefSeq and is a predicted model, not a curated record.